Molecule: long non-coding RNA, 208 nt
Organism: Lycium barbarum (goji berry)
Lineage: Eukaryota; Viridiplantae; Streptophyta; Magnoliopsida; Solanales; Solanaceae
Exons: 2
Source: RefSeq, a predicted model, not a curated record
AAAUGACAAGAUGGUCCAACGGCAAGAAAGGGACCGCAGAAUUGCGUUUCGCCUAUUGUGCACGGGAUUGAUUCCUGCUAGACGUAGCUUUUAAGGUUAAAAUAUUGUUUUGGUUCUUCUUCCAGCCCACUCCUCUAGAGUACCAGGUCGGAUCUACUUCUUUGACCCGUAACUGAUCGACUCUUCAACUUCCACUUGAGUUUCCAGG